This 253-nucleotide ribosomal RNA is filed under the name uncultured bacterium. RNAcentral's name for it is "partial 16S ribosomal RNA". It matches the Rfam family "Bacterial small subunit ribosomal RNA", at positions 524 to 776 of the family's 1533-position model. The record is from RNAcentral.
GACGAACCGUGCGAACGUUGUUCGGAAUCACUGGGCUUAAAGGGCGCGUAGGCGGCUUGCCAAGUCGGGGGUGAAAUCCGGCAGCUUAACUGUCGAAGUGCCUUCGAUACUGGCGAGCUCGAGGGAGGUAGGGGUCUGUGGAACUUCUGGUGGAGCGGUGAAAUGCGUAGAUAUCAAGAGGAACACCUGAGGCGAAGGCGGGUUGCUAGGCUGACACUGACGCUGAAGCGCGAAAGCUAGGGUAGCAAACGGG